GCGGGUGUAGCUCAAUGGUAGAGCGUUGGCUUCCCAAGCCAAUCACGAGGGUUCGAUUCCCUUCACCCGCU
RNAcentral lists this transfer RNA (71 nucleotides) under Planctomycetota bacterium. RNAcentral's name for it is "tRNA-Gly". It matches the Rfam family "tRNA". Rfam says of the family: Transfer RNA (tRNA) molecules are approximately 80 nucleotides in length. Their secondary structure includes four short double-helical elements and three loops (D, anti-codon, and T loops). Lineage: Bacteria; Pseudomonadati; Planctomycetota. RNAcentral also lists the same sequence under 1 other name. The record is from RNAcentral.